This 1994-nucleotide ribosomal RNA is filed under the name Aeromonas hydrophila. RNAcentral describes it as "partial 23S ribosomal RNA". It matches the Rfam family "Bacterial large subunit ribosomal RNA", at positions 178 to 2213 of the family's 2925-position model. Lineage: Bacteria; Pseudomonadati; Pseudomonadota; Gammaproteobacteria; Aeromonadales; Aeromonadaceae. The record is from RNAcentral.
GGCGAACCGGGAGAACUGAAACAUCUAAGUACCCCGAGGAAAAGAAAUCAACCGAGAUUCCCUCAGUAGCGGCGAGCGAACGGGGAUUAGCCCUUAAGCAUCUUGGAAGUUAGUGGAACGGUCCUGGAAAGGCCGGCGAUACAGGGUGAUAGCCCCGUACACGAAAACAACCUUGAUGUGAAAUCGAGUAGGGCGGGACACGUGACAUCCUGUCUGAAUAUGGGGGGACCAUCCUCCAAGGCUAAAUACUCCUGACUGACCGAUAGUGAACCAGUACCGUGAGGGAAAGGCGAAAAGAACCCCUGUGAGGGGAGUGAAAUAGAACCUGAAACCGUGUACGUACAAGCAGUGGGAGCCCUUCGGGGUGACUGCGUACCUUUUGUAUAAUGGGUCAGCGACUUACAUUUUGUAGCGAGGUUAACCGUAUAGGGGAGCCGUAGGGAAACCGAGUCUUAACUGGGCGUCUAGUUGCAAGGUGUAGACCCGAAACCGGGUGAUCUAGCCAUGGGCAGGUUGAAGGUUGAGUAACAUCAACUGGAGGACCGAACCCACUAACGUUGCAAAGUUAGGGGAUGACCUGUGGCUGGGGGUGAAAGGCCAAUCAAACUCGGAGAUAGCUGGUUCUCCCCGAAAGCUAUUUAGGUAGCGCCUCGGACGAAUACUACUGGGGGUAGAGCACUGUUUGGGCUAGGGGGUCAUCCCGACUUACCAACCCCAUGCAAACUCCGAAUACCAGUAAGUAAUAUCCGGGAGACACACGGCGGGUGCUAACGUCCGUCGUGAAGAGGGAAACAACCCAGACCGCCGGCUAAGGUCCCAAAGUUCUGGUUAAGUGGGAAACGAUGUGGGAAGGCUCAGACAGCUAGGAUGUUGGCUUAGAAGCAGCCAUCAUUUAAAGAAAGCGUAAUAGCUCACUAGUCGAGUCGGCCUGCGCGGAAGAUGUAACGGGGCUCAAACCAGGCACCGAAGCCGCGGAUUCACGCUAAGCGUGAGUGGUAGGGGAGCGUUCUGUAAGUCUGCGAAGGUGUAUCGAGAGGUAUGCUGGAGAUAUCAGAAGUGCGAAUGCUGACGUAAGUAACGAUAAAGGGGGUGAAAAGCCUCCUCGCCGGAAGACCAAGGGUUCCUGUCCAACGUUAAUCGGGGCAGGGUGAGUCGACCCCUAAGGCGAGGCCGAAAGGCGUAGUCGAUGGGAAGCAGGUUAAUAUUCCUGCACGACUUGUAAUUGCGAUGGGGGGACGGAGAAGGCUAGGUGGGCCAGGCGACGGUUGUCCUGGUGAAAGUGCGUAGGUGGUGUUUCUAGGCAAAUCCGGAGACACAACACUGAGACACGAGACGAACGCACUACGGUGCGGAAGCCAUUGAUGCCCUGCUUCCAGGAAAAGCCUCUAAGCUUCAGAUUACAAGUCAUCGUACCCCAAACCGACACAGGUGGUCGGGUAGAGAAUACCAAGGCGCUUGAGAGAACUCGGGUGAAGGAACUAGGCAAAAUAGAACCGUAACUUCGGGAGAAGGUUCGCUCUUGACAGUGAAGUCCCUUGCGGAUGGAGCAGUUGGGAGUCGCAGUGACCAGAUGGCUGGGACUGUUUAUCAAAAACACAGCACUCUGCAAACACGAAAGUGGACGUAUAGGGUGUGACACCUGCCCGGUGCCGGAAGGUUAAUUGAUGGGGUUAGCGCAAGCGAAGCUCUUGAUCGAAGCCCCGGUAAACGGCGGCCGUAACUAUAACGGUCCUAAGGUAGCGAAAUUCCUUGUCGGGUAAGUUCCGACCUGCACGAAUGGUGUAACCAUGGCCAUGCUGUCUCCACCCGAGACUCAGUGAAAUCGAAUUCGCCGUGAAGAUGCGGUGUACCCGCGGCUAGACGGAAAGACCCCGUGAACCUUUACUACAGCUUGGCACUGAACAUUGAACCUACAUGUGUAGGAUAGGUGGGAGGCUUUGAAGGCGUGACGCCAGUUGCGCUGGAGCCGUCCUUGAAAUACCACCCUUGUAUGU